CCAAACAAAAACUCAAGCCCCUUCUUCCCCAACCCUAAUUUUCCGAUUCACCGCCGGUCAGAUCUGGAGGAAGCAGUAAUCAAAACGGCCGAGCAUCCAUCGAGCAUCAUGAACCGACGGUUAGCUUCUCCCUCUCUCUCUUCGUGUAUUCUUCCGCUAAGAUGUUCUCCUCAUUUUGCAUGAAACAAAUGGGAUUCAUGGGGCAAAGCGAGAACUUGAUGUCCAACGGGUCGAAUUGCAUGUCCUUUCGAGGGAGCUCUAUCUUUCUUAACUCAACAAUGGAUAAGCUCUAUCUUGC
This 298-nucleotide long non-coding RNA is filed under the name Actinidia chinensis (golden kiwifruit). Its description in RNAcentral is "long non-coding RNA (ACHI_LNC007718)". The record is from RNAcentral. Lineage: Eukaryota; Viridiplantae; Streptophyta; Magnoliopsida; Ericales; Actinidiaceae.